CAGAAGCAGCAGCAACAGCAGCGCCAGCAGCAGCAGCAGCAGCAGCAGCAACAGCAGCAGCUGGUGGCUGCCUCCGUCAAUCCCUUCUCCACGAACCCCCCACCGUGGGGCUCCUCGCACCAGCCCCAGCAGCACAUGACCGACCACUUCCCCUUCGUCAUCCCCGACCCGGCUACCACCUUCGCCGAUCCCUUCGCCCCCGAUCCCGUCGCCGGCUUCGCCGCGCCCCCUGGUG
This 235-nucleotide long non-coding RNA is filed under the name Musa acuminata (dwarf banana). RNAcentral's name for it is "long non-coding RNA (MACU_LNC001633)". The record is from RNAcentral. Lineage: Eukaryota; Viridiplantae; Streptophyta; Magnoliopsida; Zingiberales; Musaceae.